CAAGUCGAACGAGUUCUCGUUGAUGAUCGGUGCUUGCACCGAGAUUCAACAUGGAACGAGUGGCGGACGGGUGAGUAACACGUGGGUAACCUGCCCUUAAGUGGGGGAUAACAUUUGGAAACAGAUGCUAAUACCGCAUAGAUCCAAGAACCGCAUGGUUCUUGGCUGAAAGAUGGCGUAAGCUAUCGCUUUUGGAUGGACCCGCGGCGUAUUAGCUAGUUGGUGAGGUAAUGGCUCACCAAGGCGAUGAUACGUAGCCGAACUGAGAGGUUGAUCGGCCACAUUGGGACUGAGACACGGCCCAAACUCCUACGGGAGGCAGCAGUAGGGAAUCUUCCACAAUGGACGCAAGUCUGAUGGAGCAACGCCGCGUGAGUGAAGAAGGCUUUCGGGUCGUAAAACUCUGUUGUUGGAGAAGAAUGGUCGGCAGAGUAACUGUUGUCGGCGUGACGGUAUCCAACCAGAAAGCCACGGCUAACUACGUGCCAGCAGCCGCGGUAAUACGUAGGUGGCAAGCGUUAUCCGGAUUUAUUGGGCGUAAAGCGAGCGCAGGCGGUUUUUUAAGUCUGAUGUGAAAGCCCUCGGCUUAACCGAGGAAGCGCAUCGGAAACUGGGAAACUUGAGUGCAGAAGAGGACAGUGGAACUCCAUGUGUAGCGGUGAAAUGCGUAGAUAUAUGGAAGAACACCAGUGGCGAAGGCGGCUGUCUGGUCUGUAACUGACGCUGAGGCUCGAAAGCAUGGGUAGCGAACAGGAUUAGAUACCCUGGUAGUCCAUGCCGUAAACGAUGAAUGCUAGGUGUUGGAGGGUUUCCGCCCUUCAGUGCCGCAGCUAACGCAUUAAGCAUUCCGCCU
This 853-nucleotide ribosomal RNA is filed under the name uncultured bacterium. Its description in RNAcentral is "bacterial SSU rRNA". It matches the Rfam family "Bacterial small subunit ribosomal RNA", at positions 58 to 874 of the family's 1533-position model. The record is from RNAcentral.